UUUUUUUUAAAUAUUUAUUUUAUUUGUAUGUGUAUGGGCAUUUUGCCUAUGUAAAUGUUUGUGAACCACAUGCCUGCUUGGUGUCCAUGGAUGUCAAAAGAGAGCAUCAGACCCACUGGAGCUGGAGUUAGAGAUGGUGUGAACCUCCAUGCGGGUGCUGGGAACUCAACUCGAGCCCUCAAAAGCAACAAGUGCUCCUGGCUGCCCUCUGAGCCAUCUCUGUAGCUCUCUGCUUCUUGAUCACAGGAAGAGACUUACUGGUUGCUCGGGUAUAACGGACUCUAUAUCAAGCCAAUAAUCCUAUCCUCUCCGUGGAGUUAGAAAAAGAAGGUGUCUUUUUCUACCCACGAGUCUCCCAUGCAACAGGAAGGAGAUAUUCAUUUUGUAUUAAAUACAAUGUGUUGUCUAACCCGCUGUGUUGGCCACCUGGGCUAUAGGCAUAGACUUAACUCCUAGAAGCUGUACAGCUUGCAAUGUCUGCAGUCCUUGUUCUUCAAAUGCCUGAAGACUGAGCGUUGUACAUUCUUGGGAGGUUUAGAGAGCACAUGGGAAAGCAUCGGUCCCGAGAGUCCAAAGGUAAUGCUGAGGUGCUCUGAGCAGGGGAAAGGGCACAAGCGCCUCGUGAAAGCCCCAUUGCCAAGCUUCCCGGAGGCCUCACCCAGGAGGUGACAUUUAUUAUUCAUUUUCCUGGUGAUUUAUCAGAAUCUGCGUCUUAGCUGUUUAGGUUCCAACCGUGAUUUCAUCGAGAUACAAAUAACAGAUUCAUUGUCAGAACCGGGCUUACCUUAACCAAGCUUACAAAACUAGAAUGCUAGCUGACGUUUAUGCAGAGAAAUAUAGCUGGCUGAUAAAGCAUAAAAUAGUAGCCUUUUCUUUCCUGGUAGGCAAGCCUUCACAGGGGGACAGAUCAUAAUCAGGUUAUUUGGCGAAUGUGAAAUC
Molecule: long non-coding RNA, 939 nt
Filed under: Mus musculus (house mouse)
Lineage: Eukaryota; Metazoa; Chordata; Mammalia; Rodentia; Muridae
Description: long non-coding RNA chr10:122939184-122940123
Source: RNAcentral